RNAcentral lists this transfer RNA (64 nucleotides) under Pseudorhynchus acuminatus. RNAcentral describes it as "tRNA-His". The record is from RNAcentral. Lineage: Eukaryota; Metazoa; Arthropoda; Insecta; Orthoptera; Tettigoniidae.
AUUUAAGUAGUUUAAAUAAAAAUAUUGAUUUGUGGUGUCAAAGAAGUAUAUAUUACCUUAGAUU